Molecule: ribosomal RNA, 228 nt
Filed under: uncultured bacterium
Lineage: Bacteria
Description: partial 16S ribosomal RNA
Rfam family: Bacterial small subunit ribosomal RNA
Source: RNAcentral
CCCGAAAAGNACCCCCACGUUCGGAUUGUAGGCUGAAAUUCGCCUACAUGAAGCUGGAAUUGCUAGUAAUGGCAGGUCAGCAUACUGCCGUGAAUACGUUCCCGGGCCCUUGUACACACCGCCCGUCACACCAUGAGAGUUGGGAAUACCCGAAGCCUGUGAGCUAACUUAUAGAGGCAGCAGUCGAAGGUAGAAUCAAUGAUUGGGGUGAAGUCGUAACAAGGUAGC